ACCAUGCAAGUCGAACGGAGUGCUUCGGCACUUAGUGGCGGACGGGUGAGUANAGCGNUGAGAAUCUGCCUUCAGGACGGGGACAACGACUGGAAACGGUCGCUAACACCCGAUGAGCCGAGAGGUAAAAACUUUAGUGCCUGAAGAAGAGCUCGCGUCGGAUUAGCUAGUUGGUGAGGUAAGAGCUUACCAAGGCGACGAUCCGUAGCUGGUCUGAGAGGAUGAUCAGCCACACUGGGACUGAGACACGGCCCAGACUCCUACGGGAGGCAGCAGUGGGGAAUUUUCCGCAAUGGGCGCAAGCCUGACGGAGCAACGCCGCGUGCGGGAGGAAGGCCCUUGGGUUGUAAACCGCUUUUGUCAGGGAAGAAGCUCUGACGGUACCUGACGAAUCAGCAUCGGCUAACUCCGUGCCAGCAGCCGCGGUAAUACGGAGGAUGCAAGCGUUAUCCGGAAUCAUUGGGCGUAAAGCGUCCGCAGGUGGUUAAACAAGUCUGCAGUCAAAGCGUGGGGCUUAACUCCAUAUCGGCUGUGGAAACUGUUUGACUAGAGUACGGUAGGGGUCGCGGGAAUUCCCAGUGUAGCGGUGAAAUGCGUAGAUAUUGGGAGGAACACCAGCAGCGAAGGCGCGCGACUGGGCCGUAACUGACACUGAGGGACGAAAGCCAGGGGAGCGAAAGGGAUUAGAUACCCCUGUAGUCCUGGCUGUAAACGAUGGAUACUAGGUGUUGCACGUAUCGACCCGUGCAGUGCCGUAGCUAACGCGUUAAGUAUCCCGCCUGGGGAGUACGCACGCAAGUGUGAAACUCAAAGGAAUUGACGGGGGCCCGCACAAGCGGUGGAGUAUGUGGUUUAAUUCGAUGCAACGCG
Molecule: ribosomal RNA, 870 nt
Filed under: uncultured cyanobacterium
Lineage: Bacteria; Bacillati; Cyanobacteriota
Description: bacterial SSU rRNA
Rfam family: Bacterial small subunit ribosomal RNA
Source: RNAcentral